GCCCGCCUAGCUCAAUCGGAUAGAGCGUCAGACUCUUAUGAGUGCGAGCACUGCGGUGCUGCAAUCUGAAGGCUGCGAGUUCGACCCUCGCGGUGGGCU
This 99-nucleotide transfer RNA is filed under the name Panus rudis PR-1116 ss-1. Its description in RNAcentral is "tRNA-Lys". It matches the Rfam family "tRNA". Rfam says of the family: Transfer RNA (tRNA) molecules are approximately 80 nucleotides in length. Their secondary structure includes four short double-helical elements and three loops (D, anti-codon, and T loops). Lineage: Eukaryota; Fungi; Basidiomycota; Agaricomycetes; Polyporales; Panaceae. The record is from RNAcentral.